CUCCCGAGUGCUUGCACUCAAUUGGAAAGAGGAGUGGCGGACGGGUGAGUAACACGUGGGUAACCUACCCAUCAGAGGGGGAUAACACUUGGAAACAGGUGCUAAUACCGCAUAACAGUUUAUGCCGCAUGGCAUAAGAGUGAAAGGCGCUUUCGGGUGUCGCUGAUGGAUGGACCCGCGGUGCAUUAGCUAGUUGGUGAGGUAACGGCUCACCAAGGCCACGAUGCAUAGCCGACCUGAGAGGGUGAUCGGCCACACUGGGACUGAGACACGGCCCAGACUCCUACGGGAGGCAGCAGUAGGGAAUCUUCGGCAAUGGACGAAAGUCUGACCGAGCAACGCCGCGUGAGUGAAGAAGGUUUUCGGAUCGUAAAACUCUGUUGUUAGAGAAGAACAAGGACGUUAGUAACUGAACGUCCCCUGACGGUAUCUAACCAGAAAGCCACGGCUAACUACGUGCCAGCAGCCGCGGUAAUACGUAGGUGGCAAGCGUUGUCCGGAUUUAUUGGGCGUAAAGCGAGCGCAGGCGGUUUCUUAAGUCUGAUGUGAAAGCCCCCGGCUCAACCGGGGAGGGUCAUUGGAAACUGGGAGACUUGAGUGCAGAAGAGGAGAGUGGAAUUCCAUGUGUAGCGGUGAAAUGCGUAGAUAUAUGGAGGAACACCAGUGGCGAAGGCGGCUCUCUGGUCUGUAACUGACGCUGAGGCUCGAAAGCGUGGGGAGCAAACAGGAUUAGAUACCCUGGUAGUCCACGCCGUAAACGAUGAGUGCUAAGUGUUGGAGGGUUUCCGCCCUUCAGUGCUGCAGCAAACGCAUUAAGCACUCCGCCUGGGGAGUACGACCGCAAGGUUGAAACUCAAAGGAAUUGACGGGGGCCCGCACAAGCGGUGGAGCAUGUGGUUUAAUUCGAA
Molecule: ribosomal RNA, 908 nt
Filed under: Enterococcus faecalis
Lineage: Bacteria; Bacillati; Bacillota; Bacilli; Lactobacillales; Enterococcaceae
Description: bacterial SSU rRNA
Rfam family: Bacterial small subunit ribosomal RNA
Source: RNAcentral